CCUACGGGAGGCAGCAGUGGGGAAUAUUGCACAAUGGGGGAAACCCUGAUGCAGCGACGCCGCGUGAGCGAUGAAGUAUCUCGGUAUGUAAAGCUCUAUCAGCAGGGAAGAAAAUGACGGUACCUGACUAAGAAGCCCCGGCUAACUACGUGCCAGCAGCCGCGGUAAUACGUAGGGGGCAAGCGUUAUCCGGAUUUACUGGGUGUAAAGGGAGCGUCGACGGUCCUGCAAGCCAGAUGUGAAAGCCCGGGGCUCAACCCCGGGACUGCAUUUGGAACUGUAAGGCUGGAGUGUCGGAGAGGCAUGCGGAAUUCCUAGUGUAGCGGUUAAAUGCGUAGAUAUUAGGAGGAACACCAGUGGCGAAGGCGGCCUGCUGGACUAUGACUGACGUUGAGGCUCGAAAGCGUGGGGAGCAAACAGGAUUAGAUACCCGGGUAGUC
Molecule: ribosomal RNA, 440 nt
Filed under: uncultured bacterium
Lineage: Bacteria
Description: partial 16S ribosomal RNA
Rfam family: Bacterial small subunit ribosomal RNA
Source: RNAcentral